Cyprinus carpio (common carp) is the source of this 1754-nucleotide long non-coding RNA. NCBI's taxonomy places the organism in Eukaryota, Metazoa, Chordata, Actinopteri, Cypriniformes, Cyprinidae. The record is from Ensembl.
CAAGACAGGAAGUAAGCAUUUUCACGUGGGAGAAGAUAUGAAAUUAUAAAAAAAUGGAGGAGUGUACAACAGCGUCACACUGCUGAAGGAAACAAAAGGAGGAGAACUCAAGCAGGUGAAAGAGUAUGUGUGAAGUCUGAUAGAGAAAUAAGCAGAUGUGAAAAACAUUUGAAACUCCACAAAUCAGCAUGCCUUACUUAUAUUACUUUAAGUCAGUCUAAAUCUAAAUUUAUAAUACGGAAAAAGAAUACAUGACAUUUCAGAAUUGCUUUUGAAAAUGCUACUUUGAAGGUACUUUUACUACAAGUGCAUUGAAGUGCGCAUAACCCGUGAGUAUAGAGAUAAAGGACGUUUAAAGGUGAGAGAAGAGAAGUCUGACCGAAGAUUUGUAGCGAUGGCGAACAGUUGGACAUUGACGGUGGUCGUCCUCCUGAGUAUCUUUGUGGCAAAAAGUCAGACAAGAGAUUUCCAAGAGCAGACCUUUACUUCGGGCAGCGAUGUGACUUUACGAUGUGGCAAUGGCACUGUUGUCAAGUGGAAUGAAUUAAUUUAUAUCGUCUGGAACAUUAGCCUGCAAGACAGAAAAUGUCGGCUUGGUUUGUCACCCAAGCUGGACGACACAUGCAAAGAUGGAAAGAAGCUGUACAACACUUCAGAUGGAGUUUCCAUAUUCAUUCCCAAGAUUUCAAUAGAAGAUGAAGGAUCUUACUUUUGUGAUGUAUCAUAUAAAGGAGGAAGCUAUGCACUAAAUGUGACUGUAAGCGUUACCAACGUUUCCACCUGGCAGUACAAAGAAAACAAUCAAAGGAUUGCUGUCUGUAAAUCUACAUAUAAAAUGAAAGCGCCCACUCUUCAUUGGGAACCUGCCUUGAACUUUUCCUCCAACAUCAGUUCUGUCAAGAAGCUUGGCAAGUUUUUUAUGCUGGAGAAUCAAGUAUAUCUGCCGGAAAAUCUCAACAUCAGUGAGCUCACUUGUGUGGCCACAUACACCUCUGAGUCCGGCCCUGUGCAGGACAAGAGCACACUUAUUACAGGUUCACAAAACUCAAAUCCCCCAUCUCCUUGGAGAGAUAUUGGCAUAUCAGUUGGCUCUGUUUGUCUUGCUCUUGUAGCCCUGGUCGUGUUUUACAAACUACGCAGAAAGAUUUAUGACUUGAGUGGAUUGAAGAUGCUUUGCUGCAAAUCCAAAAUCUCAACACCAGCUGAAGACAAACCAACCCCGCCCGCUGAUGUUGAAGAGGUGGAACCCUAUGCAAGUUACAUACAGAGAGUCAAUUCUAUCUACAACUCCUCAGCUGAACUCUUCAACGCUUGAGAGACACUCACUUUUCAUGAUGAAACAGGAUACCAGAAGAGAACCGAGGGCAAAGAUAUGCCUGUGGUCAAAAUUACACAUGAAAAACAAUACUAGUGGAAAAUAGUCAUCUCAAGAGAGCAUCCCCAAAGCAAACAGCGCCUGACUGAGGAGCAAAAGUCACACUGAGUCAAAAGAUGAAAGGUGAUGACAAAGAAACAUUUGUCUUAGUAUGUAAUGAGCAAUAACUGGGACAUCUUCAGCGUCAGCGAUAUCACUUAUACUGUAUGUAGAUUUGUAGAGAAAGAACUUGGUUAGAUAUUAAUAAUUUGAACAAAUCAAAUUUGUACAUAUUUAUAUCAGAGUGAAUCAAAAAUCAAAAAGCAGGCCUAAAGUGUAAAGAACCUAUUUUACAUUGCACAUAAUUAAAAGUAUGUAAAUAAACUUAUUGUACUUUUCA